GAUCACGAGGCAGCAGGUAACUAGGGCAAGGUGUCCUCGUAGACUUGUAUCCAUCUUUUGGUAGGUGUCUCGCCAUUCAGUAGCUGUACAUUCGUCCGAGUCCCUCCGCUGGAAGUCAAGUAUUCUUUUGUUGUGUAGAGACAAACCUAAUGUAAAUUAUUAAGAUACAUGUUGUAGACAACGUAUAUACACUUGUUUAGUAUGCUAGUAUGAAGUGGAAAAUGUUUAAUAUUCUUUUGAUCCUAAGUUAUGAAAUGUGACUUAGCAGUUUAUGAUGGAAUGAUGAACAUGUCAGAUUAAUAGGCUUGCUUGGGCUUAGUGGACUACGUCCAUUGGGCUCAUGCGCCAGUCAUGACCUGGAAUUUGGGUCGUGACACACAUGUCAUUGUAAAUUAAAUUACACACUCUGGUUCACUGUGUUACUAUAUGUACGAAUUUAUUUUACUUUUACGCUACAAAAAUUAUUUACGGAUAUCUCUAUAAAUAUUGUUUUAUAAGAAAAUGGAAUAUUUUAUUUAAUAUUUUUAUUUU
RNAcentral lists this long non-coding RNA (531 nucleotides) under Theobroma cacao (cacao). RNAcentral describes it as "long non-coding RNA (TCAC_LNC000455)". The record is from RNAcentral. Lineage: Eukaryota; Viridiplantae; Streptophyta; Magnoliopsida; Malvales; Malvaceae.